CCCCGAUCCGUCCACCGCCCGGGCCCUGCCAUCAGGCUCCUUGGAUAGCUUGGCUUCCGGCACCCUGAUAUGUAGCCCAACACUAUUCUGGAUGUUUCUGGGAGGGUGUUCAUAGAUAAGAUUGACCUUUCAGUUGGUGACAUUCCAAUAAAGCAGAUUGCUCUCCGAAACGUGAGUGGGCCUCUCCCAAUCAGUUGAAGAUCUGAAUCGCAUAAAAGACUAACUUCCCCCAAGCGAGAGGCAAUCCUGCAGCAAACAGCCUUCAGACUCAACUUGCAACAUUGGCUCUUCCUGGUCCCCAGUCUGCCAGACCACCCUGAAGACUCUGGACAUGGCAGCCUCUGUGACUAGGUAAGCCACUUCCUUCAAAUAAGUCUUGUUUUGUAUAUAUAAACAUUCUAUUGGUUCUGUUUCUUUGGGGAAUCCUUCUUUUUUAAAGUUUAUUUAUUUUGAGAAAGAGACAGAGAGAGAGAGUGGGAGGGGCAGAGAGAGAGGGAGAGAGAGAGAAUCCCAAGCAGGCUCACACUGUCAGCGCAGAGCCCCGUGCGGGACGUGACUUCACAAACCGUGAGAUCUUGACGUGAGCUGAAAUCAAGAGUCAGACACUUAACUCACUGAGACACCCAGGUGCCCCUAUCCGGAGAAUCCUAAUACAGAAUAUCCGCUUGAUUUGUUUUAUAGAGUCUUGCUCUCCGUCAAAACUCCCAGUCUGUAAAUCUCUUCUGUUCAACUUUUCCUCGAUUUUAUUGAACACAGUUGUCCUUGUUAAAGUCCUUUUCCGCUAACUCCAUCAUGUGGACCAUCUGUCGGGGUGUGGAUGGCUUUCCCGCUUUUCUAAUUGGUAACAUCCCCUGCCUCUCGGAGAUCCAAGAACUUUUUAUUGCACGCUGGGCAUUGUAUAGAUUAGAACGCUGGAGGCCACGUAUAUGCGCACUCCCUCCUUCCCGGAUCCGUGAGCGCCAAGUACUAAUCGCAUAAACUCCAUCACAAGUGGAGCUUGGUCGGGGCUGGGCUGCACUUGGAGAAAGACUCCCAUAACCUCCCAUUUCUCCCUUUUCCCAGGCAGGCCCCCCACCCCAGCCUCUGGCCGAGAUCCUUCUGGCACGGUGAGCGCGAGAGACCCGGCUCUGCCCGCUCACUGUGUCUUCUGCUCUGCUGGUGAGUCUCUCGCGCGCAGCUUCCAAAUCUGGCCCGUCUCUUCAGAACAGGAUCACACAAGCAGGCUCCUUCCUGGGGUGGGGGUGGGGGUGCUUCCCAGAACCGAGAGGCUGUUGGCAGUGCCUGCAAGGGCGCCGCGUCCUGCGUCCCCACCUCUGCAGCCGCCCGCACAGAAGAAUGUGUUUGCAUCUCUCCAAGUUUCUAGCUGGCUGGGAGAUGGUCGCUGGUUUCCCCUGCCAAGCCGAGUCUCUGGGCCACACCCAUCCCCUGGCGGCGCCCGGGGUUGGCAAACAGCCCCGGGGAAGGAAGGCGCACAGCGCCAGCCCCCCUGGCGGCGUUCCCACCUCUGGUUCCCGGUCCCUCGAUCCCUCGGCUGUCGCUCCUGUCACGGCUCGCCAGCGUAUUUUAGAUACGACAUUUGCAGUCUGGCUUCCCCCUGGCCCGGGGGAAGGCUUGUGACCACAAGGCCCACGUCACCCUCUCGCAUGUGGAAGGCGAAGCCGCUCUGAGGGCUGCGGGGUUGUAGGCUCAUUGCAUCCCGGUUCAUUGGGAUCGUUUUCCACAUCUGCCCUUUUUAUUACUCAUUCUCUAGGAUUUCCAAGUACACCAUCAUCUUGUCUGCAAAUGGAGCUGACCCUACUUCCUUCCAUUCGAGUGCCUGUCAUUGUCCAAUUUUCCAAUUGCCUGGGUGAGUACUUUAAUAGAAUUCCAGAUUAUGAUGGGAGCGUUUCUGGUAUUCUUCUUAUAAUGUAAGAUGAUAACUUCAGGGGGCGCCUGGGUGGCGCAGUCGGUUAAGCGUCCGACUUCAGCCAGGUCACGAUCUCGCGGUCCGUGAGUUCGAGCCCCGCGUCGGGCUCUGGGCUGAUGGCUCAGAGCCUGGAGCCUGUUUCCGAUUCUGUGUCUCCCUCUCUCUCUGCCCCUCCCCCGUUCACGCUCUGUCUCUCUCUGUCCCAAAAAUAAAUAAACGUUGAAAAAAAAAAUUAUUAAAAAAAAAAAUAAAAAAAGAUGAUAACUUCAGGAGAUUAUAUUCUUCUUGAAUAUUUAUUUUUUUAUCUUACGGACAGAGAGUAUGUGCCAGUAGGAGAGAGGGGCAGAGAGAGAGAGAGAGAGAGAGAGACCAUCUCAGCCGGGCUCCACACGCAGCACAGAGCCCAUCGUGGGGCUCGAUUCCACGACCCUGGGAUCAUGACCUGAGCUGAAAUCAAGAGUCGGACGCUCAACCGACUGAGCCACCCAGGUGCCCCGUGAAUAUAUAUGUUUUUAGUGUUUAUUUAUUUUUGACGGGGGGGGGGGGGGCUUGUGCGCACAAGUGGGGGAGGGGCAGAGAGAGAGAGGGAGAGGGAGGAUCCGAAGUGGGUUCCAGCUCUGCCCUGACAGCAGAGAGCCUGAUGCAGGGCUUGAACUCACAAACUGAGAUCAUGACCUGAGUGAAAGUUGGACACUUAACUGAGGAUCUAGGCACCUCGAGUAUUUUUAAUCAAGAAAGGAUAUUUAACUUAUCAGAGGUGUUUUCAAAGCCUGUAGGUUUUCUCCUAUAAUAUUUAUUUUCAUAUCUAUUAAUAUGAGGAAUUGUAGUUUUUAAAUAUUUAUUUUAUUUUUGGGAGAGACAGAAUGAGCAGGAGAGGUGCAGAGACAGAGAGAGAGAGGAUCCAAAGUGGGCUGUGAGCUGUAAGCACACACCUGAUGUGGGGCUGGAACCCGCGAACCACGGAGAUCAUGACCUGAGCCAAAGUCGGCGGCUCAGCGGAGACACCCAGGCGCCCCGAUAUGAGGAACUAUAUUAACCAAUUCCCUGACAUUUAACUGUCACUGACUCCUGGGAUAUAACCUACUCUGUCAUACUGUAUUACUUUCUUAAGGUGCUGGUGGAUACUUGCUCGUUAAUAUUUAUUUAAGAUUUUUGCAUUGGAGUAUCUAAGAGAUAUUGGGUCUGUGAUUUUCUGUCUUUCCACAAUGUUUAUUAGGUCAGUUCCCAAUGCUUCGUUCUUGGUAUUAAUUAUUUUGUGUAUUUGUACUGUUUGUCUUUUAUCGAUUAGGUUAGUUGCUUGUCUAGUUAUUUUAAUUUUCCAGACAACCGAAGUUUUAAUUUAUUAACGAAGGCCGGGGGCGCCUGGGUGGCUCAGUCGGUUAAGCCUCCGACUUCGGCUCAGGUCACGAUCUCGCGGUCCGUGAGCUCGAGCCCCGCGUCGGGCUCUGGGCUGAUGGCUCGGAGCCUGGAGCCUGUUUCCGAUUCUGUGUCUCCCUCUCUCUCUGCCCCUCCCCCGUUCAUGCUCUGUCUCUCUCUGUCCCAAAAAUAAAUAAACGUUAAAAAAAAUUUAUUAACGAAGGCCGUUAUGCUGUCUACUCCGUUCCCUUCCACUGUGACCCUUCCACUUCCCUUCCCUGUUCUUUCUUCGGCUGCCUUGUUUUCCUUCUCCGGGUUGAGUUGGGGAUUUGAUUUGUGUCCUGUCACUCCUUUUCCUUUUCAAUGAAACCAAAGUUCGGGCUUUAAAAGCUUUUUCUAUAGCGUUCAUACUUGAAGGACUUCUGACUGCACAGCAACUAUUUGCUUCAAACGUGUUUUCUUGACUCUGUUCUAUCAUUUCUGCUUCGCUGUGUCUUGCUUGCGGCUGAAAAGUCCCAUGUCAGGCUCUCUCUCCCCUACGUACACCUGGGGGCCCAGGCACUGAAGAUUAUUUCCGUAUCUUCCAGCCCACCGCUCCCACCGGCCCCCCACCUCCCCUGCCUGCCCCCCCGCCCUUGGCUCGCACCUGCCCCGGCCCCCCGCGGAGCGCCCACGCAGGUGUCUAAGCUGCCCUGGUGCUUCCUUCUCGCUCGGCUUCAUCCGUCCUCACUUCGCAUCUCCCUUUCUGUUGUCCACCCGUGUCUCGCGGCUCCGAGUGUCUGUCGCAACGUGUUGCUUCCUGUCUCCAGCUGUCUUACUUCAGCUAUUACACCUCCGGGCCGCGUCACAGCUGGUUUUCAGAGACGUGUUCAGCCGCGGGUUUCACGCUCCCUUGGGGUUGUCUGCGAACAAGGCUGCCCUCUCCCGGCGGCGCGGGGAAGUGCAGCGCCUGUGACUGCGGUCGGUCCGUCCGUCCGUCGGGUCUGUCGGUGGGAGGGUGGGAGGGUCCGCGCCUCCGAGAUUGUGCUUCUUCCGGCGGCGGCGAGUGCUUUUCCCUUCUUAGCUUUCUCCACAUUUGCCACCAAGCCUGCAAGGGUCCGCGCCCCAGGAAGGGAUGCGUUUGGCUGCCCCUGCGUCCCUGUCCACGGCGUGGGGGGGUGGGGGUGGGGGGCAGUCCUCCGGCUACCAGGUCUAAGUUGUCCAAAGUAGCCACGGAGGCACCACCCCUCUCCUUCUGGGGCUGGCUUUUGCCUGUGGCCGUCGCCCUCACACUCUCCCUUUCUUCCCUUUCCUCCCCCUCUCCCCCUCCCCCCCAACCUCGGUCUGCACAGCAGGUGCCCAGGACCAGACAGCCCUCCCAGAACUCUGCGGCUGUUCCUCCCCAAGGACAUUUGUGGCAUCGCCCUCAUCUCCGGGGCGCGCUGAGGUCAUGAGAAAGGUGGGGUUCUGUUGCCUUUCGGUUGACCUGCGUUCCUUUCCUCACUAGGAAGAGGACGCAGGCUCGGGUAUAGGCAGCUGAAAUUGUCCUCGGGCAUCCCACAAUUCAACGUGGGUUUUUUAAAUUUAAGAUUCUCAAUUUGUUGUUAGUAUAUGGAAAAACGGUUGGGUUUUAUAUGUUGAUCCUCCAGCCAGUGACCUUUCUGAAUUCAUGUGUUCGUUCCAAUAGUUGGUCUGUACCUCAUACUGGACUGUCUAAAUUCAAAAUCAUAGGGCGUCCAAGUGAUGGCAGCUUGAUCCCAUCUUAAAUAGCAGUGGUGACAACAGGGGAGAAACAGUGGUUCCCCACCAUCACAGGUGCCCCUUAUCAGAUCGGAAAGGCCCCUUCAUUCCUAGCUCACUCAGAGAGUUAUCGUAAAUUGUGUUGAAUUUAAUCAAAUUACUUUCUUUUUUUUUUUUUUCAAAGUUUAUUUAUUUUUGGGACAGAGAGAGACAGAGCAUGAACGGGGGAGGGGCAGAGAGAGAGGGAGACACAGAAUCGGAAACAGGCUCCAGGCUCGGAGCCAUCAGCCCAGAGCCCGACGCGGGGCUCGAACUCACGGGCCGCGAGAUCGUGACCUGGCUGAAGUCGGACGCUUAACGGACUGCGCCACCCAGGCGCCCCUAAUCAAAUUACUUUCUGCAUAUAUUAGAAGAAAGUAUGUUUUCUUUUUUGGGGGGGCCACUGGUGAUUUCCUGAUAUUAUUCUUAGGAUACAUUUUCAUUAAAUUUUAUGGGAGAUUGCCCUGGAGUUUCCAUUUCUUAUAAUACUUUGUCCAUUUUUUAAAAAUCUAGCUUAUGCAGCCUCUGAAAAUUAAUGAGGGAGUGUUCAUUUCUUGGUUUCCUCUGAAAGAGAUUCUGGAAGAUUGAUAUUAUCUUUCCUUUGAUUGCUUGGAAGAAUUAACCAGUGAGAGCAUCUAAAUCUGAAGUUUUUCUUUGUGGGAAGCUUAUCUUCAAUCAGCUUUUUGAAGUACCAUUUGAAUAAAAUGUAACCGCCCACCACAAGCAACCUGUGGAACCUGUCCUCAUGCCCAUAGGGGUCCCUGGCACCUCCCUGCAGUCAGCUCCCUCCUCCAAGCCCUCACCCCUGGCGAUCACUGAUUUGAUUUCUGCUACCCUCUCAUUUGUGCCUUCUAGAAUUUCAUAUUAAUGGAGUCGCACGACACGCGUGGUUUUUUGUCUUCCCUUUUUAACUUCGUGUGUUUUUGAGAUUCACUCGUGUCAUUGCAUGUAUCUGUUGUUUACCCCUUUACAUUUGUUUAAAAACAAAAUUCAACUGGGUAAAUCUUAAAGAUUUUAUUGGCUUUAUUCGCCAAUUCAUGAAUCGCACAGCCUCCGAUCUAGCUGAUAGAAAGGAGCCCUGAGGAGCGUCAUGAAAUAAGGCUUUUAUAGGCAGAAGAGAGCAGGCCGGGCAAGUUACAUGGCAAGAUGCGGGUCGGUUGUGACAAAGUCGUCUUCCUUUAAGGGACAGCAGAGAUCUGUCAGGCAGAUCCCCUCGCUAGCAGCUGACCAGGUAAUUCCAGAUUGACUGGUUUGAGGUUCCAUUCCCUGGAGAGCUGGGACUGUAAUUAGGUCCCAGGUGCCUCGGGGCUCAGCCUCAGUGACUCUGGGGGCUGUUGUCUUGUAUUUACCACCUUGUUAGGUAGUAUUCUCUCUCAUGGAUAUACACACGUGUGAAUAAAACUUCUAUCCAGGUCUGUUUUCAUUCCUUUGGGGUAAAAGCCCAGGAGGGUGACGGCUGGGUCACAGGCAAAGAAGAGUAUGUCUAACUUUAUAAGAAACUGCCAAACAUUUUCCCAAAGGGCUGCAGCUUUCUGUGUCUGCCCCUGGCACCUCCGGAGAGUUCCAGCACUAGGCAUCAUCUGUCUUCGACCGCAGCUGGUUUUGCAGGCGUCUAGGGGUACCCCGUUGUGGUUUUAAUUUACAUUUUCCUGAUGGCUAACAUCUUUUCGUGAGCUUUUUGCCGUCUGGAUUUCUUCAAUGGUGAAGUGUCUAUCCAGAUCUCUUGUCCAUUUAUCAUACGGUUGUUUCCUUUUUAUAAAAUUGUACGCACCGUUUUAACAUACACAGAUAUUUUUUCCUGGCUUUGGGUUUCAGUUUUAUUCCCUUAAACUAUCUUAAGAGCAGAAGCUUUUAAUUCUAAUGAAGUCUAAUUUAUACUUUUUUUUUUUCCCUUUAGAGAUCAUGCUGUUUGUGUCCUAAGAGACGUUUAUCUAGCCAAAGUCACACAGAUUAUCUCCUGUACUUGUUUCUGGAAGACUGUGAGUGUUGGCUCUUAUGCUCGCAUAUUAGACCCAUUCCACAGAUGAAUGUUGGAUGAUUACAUCCAGCACCUGAGGAGCCACAUGUAUGCUUAGAGAUAUGUGCUGAGAUUUACUCUCCUAGGGAAGCUUAUUCCAAUCCCACUUACUGAAAAGACAAACCUUUCCCCGCUGAAUUAGCUUGAGGGCUUUAUAAAAACCAAUUGAGUGGAUAGGUGGGGUUUGUUUCUGAACCUGCUGUUCUGUUCUUCUGACCCACGUGUCCAUCCUGAUGCCCAAAACAAUAUUAUUGUCUGAAUUACCGCGGUCUUACAGUCAGGCUUAAAACCAGGUAACGUUGGGGGCGCCUGGGUGGCUCAGUCGGUUGAGCACCGGCUUCAGUUCAGGUCACGAUCUCACUGUCCGUGAGUUCGAGCCCCGCGUCGGGCUCUGGGCUGACAGCUCAGAGCCUGGAGCCUGUUUCGGAUUCUGUGUCUCCCUCUCUCUCUGCCCAUCCCCCAUUCAUGCUCUGUCUCUCUCUGUCUCAAAAAUAAAUAAACGUUAAAAAAAAAUUAAAAAAAAAAACAGGUAAUGUUGUACCUCCCGAUUUGUUCUUCUCUUUCAAAAAUGCUUUUGGGGACGCCUGGGUGGCCCAGUCCGUUGAGCGUCCAAC
Molecule: long non-coding RNA, 7651 nt
Filed under: Lynx pardinus (Iberian lynx)
Lineage: Eukaryota; Metazoa; Chordata; Mammalia; Carnivora; Felidae
Source: RNAcentral